CAAGCAGCCACAAUCCAUUCGCAAAUUGUGGCGUAACUCGCCAAGCGCUGCCUCUCACUCUUUGUAAAGUUGUAAACCAAAACCGAAGUUGUUUUGCAACAAUGCACAUAGCCACACUCUAUACAGGUGUUGGUACCUGCUUGGGGCAUCCCUUUAGCGUCCACUCACACGCCCACCCUUCACUCAUUGGCGGACUUCUCUCCCGCAUGCCUGUCCUCUCUCACGUCUGCCUUCUCUCUCUCUCUCUCUCUCUCUCUCUCUCUCUCUCUCUCUCUCUCUCUCUCUCUCUCUCUCUCUCUCUCUCUCCAUAUAUGUAUAUAUA
Hippocampus zosterae (dwarf seahorse) is the source of this 322-nucleotide long non-coding RNA. RefSeq lists it as uncharacterized. The transcript has 2 exons. The record is from RefSeq and is a predicted model, not a curated record. NCBI's taxonomy places the organism in Eukaryota, Metazoa, Chordata, Actinopteri, Syngnathiformes, Syngnathidae.